GGGAGAGGCAGGGAGCCGGCAAGGACUGCUAAUCCUCUGCCCCUUUGGUUCAACUCCAAAGCUCACCCG
This 69-nucleotide transfer RNA is filed under the name Poromitra oscitans (yawning). Its description in RNAcentral is "tRNA-Ser (AGY)". Lineage: Eukaryota; Metazoa; Chordata; Actinopteri; Beryciformes; Melamphaidae. The record is from RNAcentral.